RNAcentral lists this RNase P RNA (371 nucleotides) under Candidatus Peribacter sp. RNAcentral's name for it is "RNase P RNA component class A". It matches the Rfam family "Bacterial RNase P class A". From Rfam's summary of the family: Ribonuclease P (RNase P) is a ubiquitous endoribonuclease, found in archaea, bacteria and eukarya as well as chloroplasts and mitochondria. Lineage: Bacteria; Candidatus Peregrinibacteriota; Candidatus Peribacteria; Candidatus Peribacterales. The record is from RNAcentral.
CCUGCUCUUUGGAUGAUCGCCCCUACCUUCGCGGUACGGGGAGGAACGUCCGGGCUCCAUUGGAACGCCUAGUGGGUAACGCCCACCUGCCCGUCACAUAUCCGGUAAAGGCGGGUACGGACCAGUGCCACAGAGACGAGCCCCGCAAGGGGAGUGAAACGCCUCGGAGCACCGAGGCCCCGUGCAAACGGGGUUGGCAAACUCUAGGUGGAGCAAGGAGGAUUUGGGUUUUCGGAUCACGCAGUGGUUCCGCUGCGCCGAUCACCCCUCCGCAUCGAGGUUUCCGGGUAACCGGGACCCCAGAGAGAUGGUCAUCUCUCCGCGCUUCAUGGCACGGAGAACAGAACCCGGCGUACAGAAGAGCGGGACCA